RNAcentral lists this ribosomal RNA (253 nucleotides) under uncultured bacterium. RNAcentral's name for it is "partial 16S ribosomal RNA". It matches the Rfam family "Bacterial small subunit ribosomal RNA", at positions 524 to 776 of the family's 1533-position model. The record is from RNAcentral.
UACGAAGGGGGCUAGCGUUACUCGGAAUUACUGGGCGUAAAGGGCGCGUAGGCGGCGUUCCAAGUUAGGCGUGAAAGUCCUGGGCUCAACCUGGGAACUGCGCUUAAGACUGGAGUGCUAGAGGAUGGAAGAGGGUUGUGGAAUUCCCAGUGUAGAGGUGAAAUUCGUAGAUAUUGGGAAGAACACCGGUGGCGAAGGCGGCAACCUGGUCCAUUACUGACGCUGAGGCGCGAUAGCGUGGGGAGCAAACAGG